This 750-nucleotide ribosomal RNA is filed under the name Triticum aestivum (bread wheat). RNAcentral's name for it is "partial small subunit ribosomal RNA". The record is from RNAcentral. Lineage: Eukaryota; Viridiplantae; Streptophyta; Magnoliopsida; Poales; Poaceae.
AUGGCCUCGGCAGAGCACGGCAAGAAGCUGCGGGUCCUCAUCGUGCCCUUCUUCGCAACCAGCCACAUCGGCCCUCACACCGACCUCGCCGUGCGCCAUGCCGGGUACCGUCGAGCCUACGGUGGCGGUCACCCCAGCCAACGUGUCCGUCGUUCGGUCCGCGCUCGAGCGGCACGACCCGUCCGCAGCGAGUAUCGCCGUCAGGAUAGCCACCUACCCGUUCCCGGACAUGACCGGUCAGCGGCCCGUGCAGGAGGCGCUCAUCAGGGAGCUGUCCCCUUCUUCUGGAACGCCACCAUCGCCGAUGAAGUCGGCGUGCCGUGCAUUACCAUCAGUGUCGUUGGCCUCUUCUCAAGGCUUGCCAUGCGCCACCUCCGAGGCGCCGUCGAGGGCGACUCGGACUGCCAGGAGGUGAUCGUCCCUGGGUUUCCAGGGCCGGAGAUACGGAUCCCGAGGACUGAACUGCCGGAGUUCUUGAGGUGCCAAGCGAAACACGACCGAUUUGGAGGCCCGAUCAUGGCCGGGCAAGCCAGGUGCUUCGGCCUCGCCGUCAACACGUUCUCAGUACUGCGAGUCUUACACGCAAGGCCACGUGAAGCGCGCCUACUUCGUCGGGCCAGUGUCGCUGCCGUUGCCACCGGCCGGAGCCAGCGGCGAGGGCGAGGCGUCGUGCAUCAGUUGGCUGGGCUCGAUGCCAAGAUACUCGGUGGUGUACGUAUGCUUCGGCACCUACGCUUCGAUCUCGAAUGA